RNAcentral lists this ribosomal RNA (370 nucleotides) under uncultured bacterium. RNAcentral describes it as "bacterial SSU rRNA". It matches the Rfam family "Bacterial small subunit ribosomal RNA", at positions 527 to 896 of the family's 1533-position model. The record is from RNAcentral.
GGAGGGUGCAAGCGUUAAUCGGUAUUACUGGGCGUAAAGCGCACGCAGGCGGUCUGUCAAGUCGGAUGUGAAAUCCCCGGGCUCAACCUGGGAACUGCAUUCGAAACUGGCAGGCUAGAGUCUUGUAGAGGGGGGUAGAAUUCCAGGUGUAGCGGUGAAAUGCGUAGAGAUCUGGAGGAAUACCGGUGGCGAAGGCGGCCCCCUGGACAAAGACUGACGCUCAGGUGCGAAAGCGUGGGGAGCAAACAGGAUUAGAUACCCUGGUAGUCCACGCCGUAAACGAUGUCGACUUGGAGGUUGUUCCCUUGAGGAGUGGCUUCCGGAGCUAACGCGUUAAGUCGACCGCCUGGGGAGUACGGCCGCAAGGUUA